Molecule: long non-coding RNA, 539 nt
Filed under: Gouania willdenowi (blunt-snouted clingfish)
Lineage: Eukaryota; Metazoa; Chordata; Actinopteri; Blenniiformes; Gobiesocidae
Description: lncRNA (ENSGWIG00000016675.1)
Source: RNAcentral
GGAUGAGAUGAGGGAGUCAUGGAAAGAAGGAGAACCAGAGAGAUGGAUGUGAGAUGGGGGAUGGAUGUGAACCAGCAGAUGGCAGGAAUAAAGAAUGGCUCCACGACAUUCGUCAAAGUUUGGAAGCCGUUUCUUUGGCUGAGCUUUGGCGCUCAGCGAUGUGACUAAUGGGGGGCCCUGGAGGCGUUGAGAGGGUCAAGCAUCGUUUGUUACUGACAGCUGAGGCGAUGAGGAGCAAAAGCACCAGCGACAGCCUCCGCUGACAGCCUGACGUGGUGGGAAAACACUGCCUCAGCAGCAGGGCUGGGAGACGGUGGGAGUGAAGACAGGAAAGAAAGGGAGCAAAGUAAUGUGAGAGAAAGAGAGAGGGAGAAAGUCCACCAUGGAGGAGAGGAAACGGUGAUAGUGAGUGAGCGAUGCCCAUCGGCGGUGCCUGUGCCCUCCUCAGAGUGCCAGAGCGGGAUGACGCUGCCACUCUGCAUCAGCCUUAUGUAGUAUUCAUAGCAGCAGGUCCUUCCAACACAAUUUGUGACCUCCAC